Molecule: ribosomal RNA, 253 nt
Filed under: uncultured bacterium
Lineage: Bacteria
Description: partial 16S ribosomal RNA
Rfam family: Bacterial small subunit ribosomal RNA
Source: RNAcentral
GACAGAGGGUGCAAACGUUGUUCGGAAUUACUGGGCGUAAAGGGCUCGUAGGCGGCCAACUAAGUCGGAUGUGAGAUCCCCAGGCUCAACUUGGGAACUGCAUCCGAUACUGGAUGGCUUGAAUUCGGGAGAGGGAUGCAGAAUUCCAGGUGUAGCGGUGAAAUGCGUAGAUAUCUGGAGGAAUACCGGUGGCGAAGGCGGCAUCCUGGACCGACAUUGACGCUGAGGAGCGAAAGCUAGGGGAGCAAACGGG